GACGAACGCUGGCGGCGUGCUUAACACAUGCAAGUCGAACGGAAAGGCCCUGCUUGCAGGGUACUCGAGUGGCGAACGGGUGAGUAACACGUGGGUGAUCUGCCCUGCACUUCGGGAUAAGCCUGGGAAACUGGGUCUAAUACCGGAUAGGAGCCAUUUUUAGUGUGAUGGUUGGAAAGUUUUUUCGGUGUAGGAUGAGCUCGCGGCCUAUCAGCUUGUUGGUGGGGUAAUGGCCUACCAAGGCGGCGACGGGUAGCCGGCCUGAGAGGGUGGACGGCCACAUUGGGACUGAGAUACGGCCCAGACUCCUACGGGAGGCAGCAGUGGGGAAUAUUGCACAAUGGGCGCAAGCCUGAUGCAGCGACGCCGCGUGGGGGAUGACGGCCUUCGGGUUGUAAACUCCUUUCGCUAGGGACGAGGCUUUUUGUGACGGUACCUAGAUAAGAAGCACCGGCUAACUACGUGCCAGCAGCCGCGGUAAUACGUAGGGUGCGAGCGUUGUCCGGAAUUACUGGGCGUAAAGGGCUCGUAGGUGGUUUGUCGCGUCGUCUGUGAAAUUCCGGGGCUUAACUCCGGGCGUGCAGGCGAUACGGGCAUAACUUGAGUACUGUAGGGGUAACUGGAAUUCCUGGUGUAGCGGUGAAAUGCGCAGAUAUCAGGAGGAACACCGAUGGCGAAGGCAGGUUACUGGGCAGUUACUGACGCUGAGGAGCGAAAGCAUGGGUAGCGAACAGG
Molecule: ribosomal RNA, 735 nt
Filed under: uncultured Corynebacterium sp.
Lineage: Bacteria; Bacillati; Actinomycetota; Actinomycetes; Mycobacteriales; Corynebacteriaceae
Description: bacterial SSU rRNA
Rfam family: Bacterial small subunit ribosomal RNA
Source: RNAcentral